RNAcentral lists this ribosomal RNA (140 nucleotides) under uncultured eukaryote. Its description in RNAcentral is "partial 18S ribosomal RNA". It matches the Rfam family "Eukaryotic small subunit ribosomal RNA", at positions 1299 to 1458 of the family's 1831-position model. The record is from RNAcentral.
UGGUGGAGUGAUUUGUCUGGUUAAUUCCGUUAACGAACGAGACCUCAGCCUGCUAAAUAGUUUGCGUUUUCUCACGAAAGCGUAGUUACUUCUCAGAGGGACAUUUCGGUUUUACCGGAAGGAAGUUUGAGGCAAUAACA